AUUGAACGCUGGCGGCAUGCUUUACACAUGCAAGUCGAACGGUAACAGGCCGCAAGGUGCUGACGAGUGGCGAACGGGUGAGUAAUGCAUCGGAACGUGCCCAGUCGUGGGGGAUAACUACUCGAAAGAGUAGCUAAUACCGCAUACGAUCUAUGGAUGAAAGCAGGGGACCGUAAGGCCUCGCGCGAUUGGAGCGGCCGAUGUCAGAUUAGGUAGUUGGUGGGGUAAAGGCUCACCAAGCCAACGAUCUGUAGCUGGUCUGAGAGGACAACCAGCCACACUGGGACUGAGACACGGCCCAGACUCCUACGGGAGGCAGCAGUGGGGAAUUUUGGACAAUGGGCGCAAGCCUGAUCCAGCAAUGCCGCGUGCAGGAAGAAGGCCUUCGGGUUGUAAACUGCUUUUGUACGGAACGAAACGGCUCUGGUUAAUACCCGGGGCUAAUGACGGUACCGUAAGAAUAAGCACCGGCUAACUACGUG
This 482-nucleotide ribosomal RNA is filed under the name uncultured bacterium. RNAcentral's name for it is "partial 16S ribosomal RNA". It matches the Rfam family "Bacterial small subunit ribosomal RNA", at positions 30 to 507 of the family's 1533-position model. The record is from RNAcentral.